ACAUUGGUGGUUCAGUGGUAGAAUUCUCAUCUUCCAUAAAGGAGACUCAGGUUCAAAUCCUGGCCAGUCUA
RNAcentral lists this transfer RNA (71 nucleotides) under Loxodonta africana (African savanna elephant). It matches the Rfam family "tRNA". Rfam says of the family: Transfer RNA (tRNA) molecules are approximately 80 nucleotides in length. Their secondary structure includes four short double-helical elements and three loops (D, anti-codon, and T loops). Further hydrogen bonds mediate the characteristic L-shaped molecular structure. tRNAs have two regions of fundamental functional importance: the anti-codon, which is responsible for specific mRNA codon recognition, and the 3' end, to which the tRNAs corresponding amino acid is attached (by aminoacyl-tRNA synthetases). tRNAs cope with the degeneracy of the genetic code in two manners: having more than one tRNA (with a specific anti-codon) for a particular amino acid; and 'wobble' base-pairing, i.e. permitting non-standard base-pairing at the 3rd anti-codon position. Lineage: Eukaryota; Metazoa; Chordata; Mammalia; Proboscidea; Elephantidae. The record is from Rfam by way of RNAcentral.